This 1431-nucleotide ribosomal RNA is filed under the name Synechococcus sp. MI0608H. RNAcentral's name for it is "16S ribosomal RNA". It matches the Rfam family "Bacterial small subunit ribosomal RNA". Lineage: Bacteria; Bacillati; Cyanobacteriota; Cyanophyceae; Synechococcales; Synechococcaceae. The record is from RNAcentral.
AUGCAAGUCGAACGAGCCUUCGGGCUAGUGGCGGACGGGUGAGUAACGCGUGGGCAAUCUGCCCUCAGGAGGGGGAUAACGGCCGGAAACGGCCGCUAAUACCCCAUAUGCCGAGAGGUGAAAUGAAUUUCGCCUGAGGAUGAGCCCGCGUCUGAUUAGCUAGUUGGUGGGGUAAUGGCCCACCAAGGCGACGAUCAGUAGCUGGUCUGAGAGGAUGAUCAGCCACACUGGGACUGAGACACGGCCCAGACUCCUACGGGAGGCAGCAGUGGGGAAUUUUCCGCAAUGGGCGAAAGCCUGACGGAGCAACGCCGCGUGAGGGAUGAAGGCCUCUGGGCUGUAAACCUCUUUUCUCAAGGAAGAAGACAUGACGGUACUUGAGGAAUAAGCCACGGCUAAUUCCGUGCCAGCAGCCGCGGUAAUACGGGAGUGGCAAGCGUUAUCCGGAAUUAUUGGGCGUAAAGCGUCCGCAGGCGGCCUUGUAAGUCUGUCGUUAAAGCGUGGAGCUUAACUCCAUUUCAGCGAUGGAAACUACAAGGCUUGAGUGUGGUAGGGGCAGAGGGAAUUCCCGGUGUAGCGGUGAAAUGCGUAGAUAUCGGGAAGAACACCAGUGGCGAAGGCGCUCUGCUGGGCCAUAACUGACGCUCAUGGACGAAAGCCAGGGGAGCGAAAGGGAUUAGAUACCCCUGUAGUCCUGGCCGUAAACGAUGAACACUAGGUGUCGGGGGAAUCGACCCCCUCGGUGUCGUAGCUAACGCGUUAAGUGUUCCGCCUGGGGAGUACGCACGCAAGUGUGAAACUCAAAGGAAUUGACGGGGGCCCGCACAAGCGGUGGAGUAUGUGGUUUAAUUCGAUGCAACGCGAAGAACCCUUACCAGGGUUUGACAUCCUGCGAAUCCCUUGGAAACGAGGGAGUGCCUUCGGGAGCGCAGAGACAGGUGGUGCAUGGCUGUCGUCAGCUCGUGUCGUGAGAUGUUGGGUUAAGUCCCGCAACGAGCGCAACCCACGUCUUUAGUUGCCAGCAUUCAGUUGGGCACUCUAGAGAGACCGCCGGUGAUAAACCGGAGGAAGGUGUGGAUGACGUCAAGUCAUCAUGCCCCUUACAUCCUGGGCUACACACGUACUACAAUGCUACGGACAAAGGGUUGCAAGCUCGCUUGAGUUAGCUAAUCCCAUAAACCGUGGCUCAGUUCAGAUCGUAGGCUGCAACUCGCCUACGUGAAGGAGGAAUCGCUAGUAAUCGCAGGUCAGCAUACUGCGGUGAAUACGUUCCCGGGCCUUGUACACACCGCCCGUCACACCAUGGAAGUUGGCCAUGCCCGAAGUCGUUACUCCAACCCUUGUGGAGGAGGACGCCGAAGGUGGGGCUGAUGACUGGGGUGAAGUCGUAACAAGGUAGCCGUACCGGAAGGUGCGGCUGGAUCACCUCCU